GACGUAGGAUGCAAGCGUUGUCCGGAAUUAUUGGGCGUAAAGAGUUCGUAGGCGGUUGCCUAAGUCUGGUGUUAAAGACCGAAGCUCAACUUCGGCAUGGCAUUGGAAACUGGGUGGCUAGAGUACGGUAGAGGUAUCGGGAAUUCCAGGUGUAGCGGUGAAAUGCGUAGAGAUGUGGAGGAACACCAGUGGCGAAGGCGGCUUUCUGGUCUGUAACUGACGCUGAGGCGCGAAAGCGUGGGGAGCAAACAGG
This 253-nucleotide ribosomal RNA is filed under the name uncultured bacterium. Its description in RNAcentral is "partial 16S ribosomal RNA". It matches the Rfam family "Bacterial small subunit ribosomal RNA", at positions 524 to 776 of the family's 1533-position model. The record is from RNAcentral.